RNAcentral lists this ribosomal RNA (464 nucleotides) under uncultured bacterium. RNAcentral's name for it is "partial 16S ribosomal RNA". It matches the Rfam family "Bacterial small subunit ribosomal RNA", at positions 28 to 507 of the family's 1533-position model. The record is from RNAcentral.
GAUGAACGCUGGCGGCGUGCUUAACACAUGCAAGUCGAACGGAAAGGCUCCUGCUUGCAGGGGUACUCGAGUGGCGAACGGGUGAGUAACACGUGGGUGAUCUGCCCUGCACUUCGGGAUAAGCCUGGGAAACUGGUCUUAUACCGGGUAAGGCGAUGGUUUUGAUUCCAUUUUGGAAAGUUUUUCGGUGUGGGAUGAGCUCGCGGCCUAUCAGCUUGUUGGUGGGGUAAUGGCCUACCAAGGCGUCGACGGGUAGCCGGCCUGAGAGGGUGUACGGCCACAUUGGGACUGAGAUACGGCCCAGACUCCUACGGGAGGCAGCAGUGGGGAAUAUUGCACAAUGGGCGCAAGCCUGAUGCAGCGACGCCGCGUGGGGGAUGACGGCCUUCGGGUUGUAAACUCCUUUCGCUAGGGACGAAGCGCGAGUGACGGUACCUGGAGAAGAAGCACCGGCUAACUACGUG